AGCAGCCGCGGUAAUUCCAGCUCCAAUAGCGUAUAUUAAAGUUGUUGCAGUUAAAAAGCUCGUAGUUGAAUUUCGGGAUCAAGGAAUCGGUCAUGCCUCGGUAUGUACUGGUUUUAUUGGUUCUCACCUUCUAAAGAACCAUAAUGUCAUUUAUUUGAUGUUAUGGGGAAUUAGGACUGUUACCUUGAAAAAAUUAGAGUGUUUAAAGCAAGCUCACGCUUGAAUACAUUAGCAUGGAAUAAUGAAAUAGGACGUUUGAUUCUAUUUUGUUGGUUUCUAGGAUCGACGUAAUGAUUAAUAGGGAUAGUUGGGGGCAUUAGUAUUCAAUUGUCAGAGGUGAAAUUCUUGGAUUUAUUGAAGACUAACUACUGCGAAAGCAUUUGCCAAGGAUGUUUUCAUUAAUCAAGAACGAAAGUUAGGGGAUCGAAGACGAUCAGAUACCGUCGUAGU
RNAcentral lists this ribosomal RNA (450 nucleotides) under uncultured Glomeromycotina. Its description in RNAcentral is "SSU rRNA". It matches the Rfam family "Eukaryotic small subunit ribosomal RNA", at positions 569 to 1024 of the family's 1831-position model. Lineage: Eukaryota; Fungi; Glomeromycota. The record is from RNAcentral.